AGUUUGAUCAGUCGGCUACGAGGACGAACGCUGGCGGUGUGCUUCACACAUGCAAGUCGAACGAGGUAGCAAUACCUAGUGGCGGACGGGUGAGUAACGCGUGGGAAUCUGCCUUUAGAUGGGGGAUAACGGGUCGAAAGACUCGCUAAUACCGCAUAUGACGAAAGUUGAAAGGAGUAAUCCGUCUAAAGAUGAGCCCGCGUCCGAUUAGCUAGUUGGUAGAGUAAAAGCCUACCAAGGCGACGAUCGGUAGCUGGUCUGAGAGGAUGAUCAGCCACAAUGGGACUGAGACACGGCCCAUACUCCUACGGGAGGCAGCAGUGGGGAAUUUUACGCAAUGGGCGAAAGCCUGACGUAGCGACACCGCGUGAGCGAAGAAGCCCCUUGGGGUGUAAAGCUCUGUCAGCUGGAACGAAAAAAAUGACGGUACCAGCAGAGGAAGCAUCGGCUAACUACGUG
RNAcentral lists this ribosomal RNA (459 nucleotides) under uncultured bacterium. Its description in RNAcentral is "bacterial SSU rRNA". It matches the Rfam family "Bacterial small subunit ribosomal RNA", at positions 1 to 507 of the family's 1533-position model. The record is from RNAcentral.